UACGUAGGUGGCAAGCGUUGUCCGGAUUUACUGGGCGUAAAGAGCGCGCAGGCGGUCGAUCAAGUCGAGUGUGAAAGCCCCCGGCUCAACUGGGGAGGGUCAUUCGAUACUGAUCGACUCGAAGGCAGGAGAGGGUAGUGGAAUUCCCGGUGUAGUGGUGAAAUGCGUAGAUAUUGGGAAGAACACCGGUGGCGAAGGCGGCUCUCUGGACCGAGACUGACGCUGAGGCGCGAAAGCGUGGGGAGCAAACAGG
RNAcentral lists this ribosomal RNA (253 nucleotides) under uncultured bacterium. RNAcentral's name for it is "partial 16S ribosomal RNA". It matches the Rfam family "Bacterial small subunit ribosomal RNA", at positions 524 to 776 of the family's 1533-position model. The record is from RNAcentral.